GGAGGGGUCGCGUAGUGGUCGAGCGCGCGUGUUUGGAAAACACGUAACCGCAAGGUUCCAGGGUUCGAAUCCCUGCCUCUCCG
This 83-nucleotide transfer RNA is filed under the name Nitrospirota bacterium. RNAcentral's name for it is "tRNA-Ser". It matches the Rfam family "tRNA". From Rfam's summary of the family: Transfer RNA (tRNA) molecules are approximately 80 nucleotides in length. RNAcentral also lists the same sequence under 1 other name. Lineage: Bacteria; Pseudomonadati; Nitrospirota. The record is from RNAcentral.